CCCCCCCCCCCCCCCUCAUUUCUCCAUCUCUCUCACUAUCCGCUCAGAGCCGCUGCCAGAAAUCGCCUACGACGGCGACGCACUCUAAAUCCACCCAAAAUUUCACCCCAUACUCCCCAUCACCUCCUCAUGCCCCUCCCGUCAUAAGAUUUCCAAAAAAAACACUAGAUCUCUUCGAUUACUAGAUGUAGGUUUGGCCGAAAAUGCAAAAUCACCCAUUUUCAUCUCUUGACCGAUUCCGACCCCUUUUCACGUUAAAAUUUAUAUCGAACGAUGGAUUUUGACAUAAGCUGUCGAUUGGUGUUAGUUUUAGUGUGAUUUCAUGUUCGCUGGGAGCUGGUCAUUUUCUGUUUGACCCAUCUGAAAACUUCAAAUAGUUUCUCGCAUUCUCUCUCCCUCAUUCAUAGCCGUCCGAACCAUAAGCCAAGAACAUAAGGAACGUUCAAGGUAGCAGACCUUUAGGGUUCAAAUUCCUCCAACCUCUUCAAUUGAUUUUUACCGGCCAGUUGAUCGAUAUCGUUAUGUGUAGCACCGGUUCCGCUUUCGUGCGUUGAACCAGUGUUCAUGUCACGGCAUUGGUUGUUGUCCGGGUUUCUUUUGCCGACAGUUGGACCACCAUCGGUUGGUUUGAAGUUGAAGAAAUGUCCAUAUCCAGCAGUAAUGUAUUGACCAGUGCUAUAUAGAUCUGGAAUUUUGAAGAAGAAAUAUGGAGGAGUUCGUUUGUAUUUUGAUUUGAUCUCAGUUACGUUGUUAUUUAGUUUAGGAUUUGGAGACUAUUUCUUAUGGAUAGUUUUUUUUUUGGUGUAAAAAUGAGUUGAAAACAGGUUUGUUGUUAUGAAUAGAAUUGUACUUAGAGUGAAUCUCUAUCAUUUAGAGAGUUUGUUACUUUGUGGCUAAGUCAUUUCCUCCCCAUAAAUAGAUGGGCUUUACCUCAUUGUAAAUGAUCUGAAAUUCAAUAAGAAUUACCUCUCUCUUUCCUUGCAAUA
This is a long non-coding RNA of Nicotiana tabacum (common tobacco), 986 nucleotides long. RefSeq lists it as uncharacterized. NCBI's taxonomy places the organism in Eukaryota, Viridiplantae, Streptophyta, Magnoliopsida, Solanales, Solanaceae. The record is from RefSeq and is a predicted model, not a curated record.